AUGGAAUCAUAUUUGCCAAACUGUAUUCCUGUGAUCCUUGAUCCACGAUUUAAACUUUGCUUCAUCGAGUUUCGACUAAAACAAGCUUUUGGUCCAGAUGUAGAAAGACACUUGCUUGCAGUGAAAGAAGUUCUUGACAACCUUUUCGAAGAAUAUUCUUCACAAAUGACGGAUGCAUUGGAUGAGUCAGCACCGCGACAAAAUUUUGAUGAGGUUGUGAAUGAAGAGAAUGAUCCGUUGGCGGAUUGGGACCAACACUCGAAUAAGAAGCAACGCCAAACUGCUAGUGAGCUUGCCAGAUACUUAGAAGAAGACACAUUCACUCGCACGGAGGAUUUCAACAUUCUUCAAUGGUGGCAUCUUCACUCGUCUAAGUAUCCCGUCCUUUCUUGUAUAGCUCGUGAUGUUCUUGCUGUACAAGCUUCCGUCGUAUCGUCAGAGUCGGCUUUCAGUACCGGAAAGCGUUUGAUCAGCGAUUACAGAAGUAGAUUGUGCAGCGAGACAGUGGAAGCCUUAAUCUACCUUCAAGAUUGGUUUAGAUGUAAUGAUAAGCAUGCCAAUGCUCCUGAUCAAGGUCACUACUAUUAA
RNAcentral lists this ribosomal RNA (588 nucleotides) under Triticum aestivum (bread wheat). Its description in RNAcentral is "partial small subunit ribosomal RNA". The record is from RNAcentral. Lineage: Eukaryota; Viridiplantae; Streptophyta; Magnoliopsida; Poales; Poaceae.